AUGCGUGUCAUCGAUCUGUUUGGAAAUCUACAUGUGGGAAACCUCCAUUGGUUAAACUCCGCAAAUGUCAUCUUGCUGCCCAAAAAGGAAGGGGCGGAAGGAAUCUCCAACUAUAGGCCCAUUAGCCUCUUCCACGCCAUUGCCAAGAUUAUUGCUAAAGUGCUUGCCCUACGACUCGCCCCCCUCAUGAACAACCUUGUCACGCAUGCCCAAAGCGCGUUCAUUAAGGGACGAAGUAUCCACGAUAACUUCAUGUAUGUGCGAAAUCUCGCGCGACGGCUUCACAAGAGCAAGACUCAUUCCCUCCUCUUCAAGCUUGACAUCCGCAAAGCGUUCGACUCCGUGUGGUGGGAAUACAUCCUCGACCUCCUUCAAAGGAGAGGCUUCCCAAACAAGUUCAGGGAGUGGAUCACCGCUCUUCUUAAGACAUCUUCCUCGAGAAUGCUUCUAAAUGGGAUUCCCGGCAAUGCCAUCAAACACGGGAAGGGAUUUCGACAAGGAGAUCCACUAUCUCCUCUCCUCUUUGUCAUUGCCAUUGAUCCUCUCCAACAAGUUCUUAAUGUGGCCACUCGCUGCGGGAUUCUUCACAAGAUCAGAGGGCGUGGCACUUGCUUCCGGACCUCCCUUUAUGCGGACGACGCGGCUGUUUUUGUCAAGCCUUUAAAGGAGGAUGUUUCGAACCUUGCAACCAUCCUGGAUUGCUUUGGUCGGGCCACGGGAUUAUGCACAAACUUCUAG
RNAcentral lists this ribosomal RNA (738 nucleotides) under Triticum aestivum (bread wheat). Its description in RNAcentral is "partial small subunit ribosomal RNA". The record is from RNAcentral. Lineage: Eukaryota; Viridiplantae; Streptophyta; Magnoliopsida; Poales; Poaceae.